Acanthosepion pharaonis is the source of this 108-nucleotide non-coding RNA. NCBI's taxonomy places the organism in Eukaryota, Metazoa, Mollusca, Cephalopoda, Sepiida, Sepiidae. The record is from the annotation of a GenBank genome assembly.
CCACAUUACGUUGAAACCCCAGUAUCCAUAUGAUCACCGAAGUUAAGCAGCAUUGAGCACUGUCAGUAACUCGAUGGGUAACCACUUUGGAAUAUCAGAUGCUGUAAG